CGGGUAAGAUGCCCACUGGUACAAUAGUGGCAUGAUAUCAGGAGGACUACCCAUUGAUUUCUGACUGGAUUUGAGGCUUGCUCCAUGGGAGGGAACUUAUGCCUGGUACUGUAAACUUGGUUGAAAUCAUAGACCCUGAAGGGGAGCUGCUACCAAAUAGACUUCUUCAUAUAAUGCUUUGGUUUUCCUGAACGAGGACGCUUCAACUGUUUGGAUUCAGUUUUUCAUCUGUAAAAUAGUGGCGUCGAUGUUGCUACGGAGCCUUUGCACAUGGGUCCCAGUCCUGGAGGGCUGGGUGAGGGAGAAGCCGGUGGCAGAGGAAAGUCUUGGGCAGCGGCGAGAACGAAGCAACACCCGGGAGACUGUGUCAGCAGAUAACUCGUUUUAAUAUGGCGAA
Molecule: long non-coding RNA, 397 nt
Organism: Nannospalax galili (Upper Galilee mountains blind mole rat)
Lineage: Eukaryota; Metazoa; Chordata; Mammalia; Rodentia; Spalacidae
Exons: 3
Source: RefSeq, a predicted model, not a curated record